CCUAACGAUAUCCAUAAAUUAAGCACUUCAGCUUGGGCUACCAAAGCGAAAUAUAAUGCAUUUAUGAGUACCUUUCACCAGAGCACCCAGUAAUGAAGUUUCCAAUUCAUGGUUUGUGAUAUAAACGAUGUGAAAUGAUUGUUAUUCCCUUUCUUCACCAUGCCUUCAUUCUGGUUAAAGUUGUCAAUAGCGCUGCAAUCAAUUAUUUCUAUUGCAACGAUCGAACAGACCCCACAGCAUAUCUCAUUCGAACCCAACAUUAACUGGGACCCUCAAUGGAUUAGUUUAAAUGCGCUGAAGUUGUAUCGCUCAGACGAAACAAAGCCUGCGAAACUAAUGGGAAUGGUUCACCUAAGACGACCCUUAGACCGAAGCGUGUUCUACGAUUCUAAAAUCCAUUAAAAGUUUAACAAUAAAAGUUUUCCCUCUUACAAAAGUUACAUGGGUGUGUGCAGUUUAAAUGAUGCGAAAGAACCGUUCACUGUUCAUUUUCAGAACAAAACGGAUAAAUGCCCAUUUCCAGAGGGAAAUUAUAAUGUAACCAUGUGACAUUUAAACAAAAUGGUUUCUCCUUUCCGGAUGAUUAUUGGAUUAAAAUGAAGCUAAUCGAUCCCGAGUCCGUUCAACCUAUUUGCAGUUUAAGGUUGAAGAUCCUUGUUCCAGGAGAGCGGGAGGUGCCUCCGCCAUAUGUUGACAAUGAGAAACAUCUGCGACGAGAUGAUCUAACUCCAUUUCAUAGUAGACAAUAAAUGAUUUAACAAGAAAGCAAAAAUAGAUAAUGUUUAUGUUGUCAUACGAUAGCUACCUCUUUCAAACAAAACAUCAAACUACAACAUCAAUCUUUGCGUAUACCAUUUGAAAUGUUCAUAUUUAGUUCGAGGAUUUCAUUCGUUGGUGAUUUUUACAAUAUGUUAAUUCUUUCCAAAUGUUAUUUAUCGGUUUUACCCUCUUAUGGUGCUGAUCUUACCUGCACUUUCAAUGGUUAUACACAAGAAUGAUGACAUAUGAUUGUAUUUAUUUAACACUCAAUCCUACCUUAAUGUAUCAUCGGGCGAUCUCAUCAAUUGCUAGAUUGUUAGCCACUGUGAGAGAAACGUUUUAAGGUUAAUUUGACAUGCAAAAUUAUACAAUAUAUAAAAGAAAACCUAUGGUGUUGGUUUUACUCCGCUUUCCCCUGUGACUCAAGCAGACAACCGCAUUGUCUAAUGUGAGCACAGGAAGAGAUUGCAUGCCGAACAAGUGUAGAGCCCGGGACAAUAAGGUAACAAGUCCCCCGAAAAAAAGAGGUUAAUUUCCGUUUCAACGUGCCUAUAUUGGGUAAAACUUUUGCCACUCGCUGUUGCACCCCAUUUCGGUUGCUGCCGCCAAUAAAUAUUCUUUUCUUCUGGGCCGGGGCAAAUUUUCCGUUCGCCGCAAACGUUGGUUUCGAACUAAUUUAAUUAGCUGUUUCCUGAGUUUUUUUUCGUGCAGAGAGGAAGUUGAAUUUAUAUUUUCAAACGAAAUGUAUUAUUAAGCCGUGGAUAUGUGAACUUUAUGACAGUUCGAUUUAGUGGCUGCGGCAAUUUCGUGUGUCAUCGCUGUUGAGAUAAUUGGGAUAAUUCGUUUUGCCGGGUGAGGGUUCUAGUUUACGACUAGAGUAACGGAAAUUCCUCCAAAUAUGCGAUUCUCCUCUAAUAGUUGGGUAUUUAAGACGUACGAACCUUUGGGCACCACAAGUGGUAACAUUUUCUCGUCGAAUUUGAAAUUAUUUAUGGUGAUAUCAUCCCUGGGAAAUGGACAUGUACCUUUCUCGGGGAAGUUCGAUACAUUUCUCAAAAGAGGAAUGAAACUGUCUUCAGAAUCAAAAAAGUGGCAGAGUGGUUGUUCGUUUCUAGCAAUAUACUGGUUGUAGCCAAUUCCGGCGGCGUUUUUCUUCGAAACUUCCAUCAGAAUUCGUGCUUCAUUGCCCAUUGAUUUACGGAUGCUUAAUGUACCAGAUAUUGUGAAAUUGUUACGACCAACACGAGUUAUGCGAAGUGUACCAAAAUCUACCCUUUCCGGAUCUGUUCGUGAAUCUGGAAACAUGGACUCGAUAACGACAUCGUAGUUCUCCGACUACCAUUCUUCCAUGCGCUUGUGUUGAAAGUUUGAGAAAUUGGAGAAUGCAGCGAAGCGCGAUCAGAGGGAGGAAUACAAACAACAGUGUCGUCGCUCGGCGGCCAGUGAAAAAAGCUGAAUGUUCGAAAGGUUGUUGCCUGUAUUUUUUACCGCUGGUGCCAACUGUUAGCAUUUAAGAACGAAAUAAACAGUCUUUGCCCUAUUGAAGUUCAAAUAGAUAUAGCCGUUAUUUGAGCGGGAAAAAUUG
RNAcentral lists this long non-coding RNA (2344 nucleotides) under Aedes aegypti (yellow fever mosquito). RNAcentral describes it as "lncRNA AAEL026221". Lineage: Eukaryota; Metazoa; Arthropoda; Insecta; Diptera; Culicidae. The record is from RNAcentral.